UUCAUUUCCAGUGUUGCCUGGGGCUGGCAUUUGGUAAAUGGUUGAGUUCUGCACCUAGGGAACUGCAGAAACGUUUUAAUGUAGAAACGUUUAACAAAGUGGUAAGUAUUCAACAGAGAAUCAAGUGUGAAUUGAAAUCUCAUCAAGGAGAACAGGAGAUUUCAGCCACACGUUUAAUCUGUCGACAUGAAACAAGAAAAAAUUGCACCAGAAGGCAGGGAAGGAUGUUGGCACAUUGAUAUUCAUGAUUUCAUGGAAAUGGAAAUUGCCUGAGGGAGAUUUUAAGAUGAAUAGAGUACAGCUAGGCCAUUGGGAAAAGUAAUAUAGGCUGUAUGUCUGUAACUAUUCAAAUGUCCCAUAAGGCCAAUAAGGCCGUGUUGUUGGGGCAGCACACAUGCUUUCCUUGCAAUGGUUCA
RNAcentral lists this long non-coding RNA (416 nucleotides) under Eucalyptus grandis. Its description in RNAcentral is "long non-coding RNA (EGRA_LNC006039)". The record is from RNAcentral. Lineage: Eukaryota; Viridiplantae; Streptophyta; Magnoliopsida; Myrtales; Myrtaceae.